Molecule: ribosomal RNA, 459 nt
Filed under: uncultured bacterium
Lineage: Bacteria
Description: partial 16S ribosomal RNA
Rfam family: Bacterial small subunit ribosomal RNA
Source: RNAcentral
ACUACGGGUGGCAGCAGUGAGGAAUAUUGGUCAAUGGGCGGGAGCCUGAACCAGCCAAGCCGCGUGAGGGAAGAAGGUACAGCGUAUCGUAAACCUCUUUUGUCAGGGAACAAAGGCGGGGACUAGUCCCCGGAUGAGGGUACCUGAAGAAAAAGCAUCGGCUAACUCCGUGCCAGCAGCCGCGGUAAUACGGGGGAUGCGCGCGUUAUCCGGAUUUAUUGGGUUAAAAGGGGGCGCUGAGGGCCUGUUCAGUCAGCGGGAAAAGCCCGGGGCUCAACCCCGGCGAGCCGUUGAAACUGGCGGGCGGGAGUUGGAGAGAAGUACGCGGAAUGCGCGGUGUAGCGGUGAAAGGCUUAGAUAUCGCGCAGAACCCCGAUUGCGAAGGCAGCGUACCGGCUCCACACUGACGCUGAGGCACGAAAGCGUGGGUAUCGAACAGGAUUAGAUACCCUUGUAGUC